RNAcentral lists this ribosomal RNA (506 nucleotides) under uncultured Desulfobulbus sp. RNAcentral describes it as "bacterial SSU rRNA". It matches the Rfam family "Bacterial small subunit ribosomal RNA", at positions 903 to 1382 of the family's 1533-position model. The record is from RNAcentral. Lineage: Bacteria; Pseudomonadati; Thermodesulfobacteriota; Desulfobulbia; Desulfobulbales; Desulfobulbaceae.
CCUUGCCAGCCCGCUCAGAACUUAAAUGAAUUGACGGGGCCGCACAAGCGGUGGAGUAUGUGGUUUAAUUCGAUGCAACGCGAAGAACCUUACCUGGUCUUGACAUCCCGGAGACCCUUAGGAAACUAGGGGGUGCUUCCAUCUGGAAGAAUCUGGAGACAGGUGCUGCAUGGCUGUCGUCAGCUCGUGUCGUGAGAUGUUGGGUUAAGUCCCGCAACGAGCGCAACCCUUGCCUUUAGUUGCCAGCAGUUCGGCUGGGCACUCUAAAGGGACUGCCGGUGUUAAACCGGAGGAAGGUGGGGAUGACGUCAAGUCCUCAUGGCCUUUAUGACCAGGGCUACACACGUACUACAAUGGCCGAUACAAAGGGCAGCGACACUGCGAGGUGAAGCCAAUCCCGUAAAAUCGGUCUCAGUCCGGAUUGGAGUCUGCAACUCGACUCCAUGAAGUUGGAAUCGCUAGUAAUCGUGGAUCAGCAUGCCACGGUGAAUACGUUCCCGGGCCUU